GGAGGGUGCGAGCGUUGUCCGGAAUCACUGGGCGUAAAGGGCGCGUAGGUGGCCCGUUAAGUGGCUGGUGAAAUCCCGGGGCUCAACUCCGGGGCUGCCGGUCAGACUGGCGAGCUAGAGCACGGUAGGGGCAGAUGGAAUUCCCGGUGUAGCGGUGGAAUGCGUAGAUAUCGGGAAGAAUACCAGUGGCGAAGGCGUUCUGCUGGGCCGUUGCUGACACUGAGGCGCGACAGCGUGGGGAGCAAACAGGAUUAGAUACCCUGGUAGUCCACGCCGUAAACGAUGGACACUAGACGUCGGGGGGAGCGACCCUCCCGGUGUCGUCGCUAACGCAGUAAGUGUCCCGCCUGGGGAGUACGGCCGCAAGGCUG
RNAcentral lists this ribosomal RNA (371 nucleotides) under uncultured bacterium. RNAcentral describes it as "bacterial SSU rRNA". It matches the Rfam family "Bacterial small subunit ribosomal RNA", at positions 527 to 896 of the family's 1533-position model. The record is from RNAcentral.